Long non-coding RNA from Macaca fascicularis (crab-eating macaque), 1690 nucleotides. The record is from Ensembl. NCBI's taxonomy places the organism in Eukaryota, Metazoa, Chordata, Mammalia, Primates, Cercopithecidae.
UUUUUUCUUUUUUCUUUUUUUUUGAGACAGAGUCUCUGUUGCCCGGGUUGGAGUGCAGUGGCACAAUCUCGGCUCACUGCAACCUCCACCCCCCAGGUUCAAGUGAUUCUCCUGCCUCAGCCUCCAGAGAAACUGGGAUUACAGUGCCCACCACCAUGCCUAGCUAAUUUUUGUAUUUUUAGUAGAGAUGGGAUUUUGCUAUGUUGGUCAGGCUGGUCUCAAACUUCUGACCUCAGGUGAUCCUCCCACAUUGGCCUCCCAAAGUGCUGGCAUUACAGGCGUGAGCCAUUGUGCCCAGCCCGUAAUCACUAACUUCUAUUGAGCAUUUACUAUUGCGCCAGGUACUAAGUGCUUUACAUGUAUUUAUUAGAAGGGAAAAAGGUUCUUCCUCAUCCCUUAUGUUUCCUUCCAUGUGGAAGAAGCUUCUCUGGCAUGAGAUUUCUGACCUGUCUCCCUGCUCUUUGACUCACUCCUGCCCAGGAGGACGGUGGUGGUGGCAAAGAGGGUGGUACAGGAAGAGGAGCAACUUCUCAAUGGUGAGCCUGGGGAGGAACUGGAGAUGCAUAGCUCAGCCCAUCUCUGUCCUCUUGGCAGCCAUCCUCCUCCAGAGCAUGCUUUGGGCUCUGCUCUCCCAGGCUCCACUGUUUACAGGGACAGUUUCCAACUGGGAGGCAUGCCUGAGCCUGCGUGGGUACCCUGCCUAAUUCUGGUAUUCACUCACCCACAAAUGUAAACUACGGACUCCUAUAUAAAAUGUAUCAGUGAUAAAGUUGAUAUUUUGAUCCCAUUUGCUUUUUUUUUUUUUUUUUUUUUUUUUUUUUUUUUUGGUGAUGGAGUCUUGCUCUGUUACCCAGGCUGGAGUGCAGUGGGGCGAUCUCGGUUCACUGCAAGCUCUGCUUCCUGGGUUUAAGCGAUUCUACUGCCUCAGCCUUCCAAGUAGCUGGGAUUACAGGUGUGCACCACCACACCCAGCUAAUUUUUGUAUUUUCAGUAGAGACAGGGUUUCUCCAUGUUGUCCAGGCUGGUCUUGAAUUCCUGACCUCAAGUGAUCUGCCUGCCUUGGCCUCCCAAAGUGCUGGGAUUACAGGAGUGAGCCACUGCUCCCGGCCAAUCCCAUUUGUUUUUAUUACUCCUUGCCCAGCUCUUAAUUACUCAGAACUUGGGAAGGGAAGAGAGGUUUCCUCUAUUAUGUUCUCUUGGAUCUCCAAACUAUUAACUCAUUUAAUCCUAACAAAAAUUCCGUUAGAGGACAGGGAGCAAUGGCUCAUGCCUGUAUUCCUAGCACUUUGAGAGGUGUAGUUUGGAGGAUCUUUUGAGGCCAGGAAUUCGAGACCAUCCUGGGGAACAUAGUGAGACCCUGUCUCUACUAAAAAUACAGAAAAUUAGAAAAAAGAAUUCCAUUAGAAAAGUACUCUUAUUAUCCUCUCAGCUGAGGAAACUGAGCAUUUGGCCGUUUGGUUGAAAUACAAAUAUUUGCUCUCAGUCCAGGAUCAGAUGAAAUUAAAGCAUAUAAGAGUGUUUGCAAACUGUUAAAGCUAUGUAUACAGAAGGCAAUGAGGGUGGUGGUUCUGGCUUUGACAGCCACUGGCAGUAGGACUCUGAGCAAGUGCUUUCCGGACUUUAGUUCCUUUAUCAGGAAAGCGAGGGGUCAGACAGGCUGAUCUGUGCAGAUCUUUCCUGUUCUAACGCC